UGCUCUGCCUCAUCCUUGUCU
RNAcentral lists this microRNA (21 nucleotides) under Aquilegia coerulea. RNAcentral describes it as "aqc-miR408". Its record names the gene aqc-miR408. The record is from miRBase by way of RNAcentral. Lineage: Eukaryota; Viridiplantae; Streptophyta; Magnoliopsida; Ranunculales; Ranunculaceae.